This 492-nucleotide ribosomal RNA is filed under the name uncultured bacterium. Its description in RNAcentral is "partial 16S ribosomal RNA". It matches the Rfam family "Bacterial small subunit ribosomal RNA", at positions 29 to 507 of the family's 1533-position model. The record is from RNAcentral.
AGUGAACGCUGGCGGUAGGCCUAACACAUGCAAGUCGAACGGCAGCACAGUAAGAGCUUGCUCUUACGGGUGGCGAGUGGCGGACGGGUGAGGAAUACAUCGGAAUCUACUUUUUCGUGGGGGAUAACGUAGGGAAACUUACGCUAAUACCGCAUACGACCUACGGGUGAAAGCAGGGGAUCUUCGGACCUUGCGCGAUUGAAUGAGCCGAUGUCGGAUUAGCUAGUUGGCGGGGUAAAGGCCCACCAAGGCGACGAUCCGUAGCUGGUCUGAGGGGAUGAUCAGCCACACUGGAACUGAGACACGGUCCAGACUCCUACAGGAGGCAGCAGUGGGGAAUAUUGGACAAUGGGCGCAAGCCUGAUCCAGCCAUACCGCGUGGGUGAAGAAGGCCUUCGGGUUGUAAAGCCCUUUUGUUGGGAAAGAAAAGCAGCAGGUUAAUACCCCGCUGUUCUGACGGUACCCAAAGAAUAAGCACCGGCUAACUUCGUG